GCACAAGCGGUGGAGCAUGUGGUUUAAUUCGACGCAACGCGAAGAACCUUACCUGGGCUCGAAAUGUAGUGGACCGGGGUAGAAAUAUCCCUUCCUAGCAAUAGGCUGCUAUAUAGGUGCUGCAUGGCUGUCGUCAGCUCGUGUCGUGAGAUGUUGGGUUAAGUCCCGCAACGAGCGCAACCCUUAUUACCAGUUGCUACCAUUUAGUUGAGCACUCUGGUGAGACCGCCUCGGAUAACGGGGAGGAAGGCGGGGAUGACGUCAAGUCCUCAUGGCCUUUAUGUCCAGGGCUACACACGUGCUACAAUGGUCGGUACAAACCGUCGCAAACCCGCGAGGGGGAGCUAAUCGGAAAAAGCCGACCUCAGUUCGGAUUGCAGUCUGCAACUCGACUGCAUGAAGCUGGAAUCGCUAGUAAUCGCGGAUCAGAACGCCGCGGUGAAUACGUUCCCGGGC
RNAcentral lists this ribosomal RNA (456 nucleotides) under uncultured bacterium. RNAcentral's name for it is "bacterial SSU rRNA". It matches the Rfam family "Bacterial small subunit ribosomal RNA", at positions 923 to 1379 of the family's 1533-position model. The record is from RNAcentral.